This 468-nucleotide ribosomal RNA is filed under the name uncultured bacterium. RNAcentral describes it as "partial 16S ribosomal RNA". It matches the Rfam family "Bacterial small subunit ribosomal RNA", at positions 28 to 507 of the family's 1533-position model. The record is from RNAcentral.
GACGAACGCUGGCGGCGUGCUUAACACAUGCAAGUCGAACGGAAAGGCCCUGCUUUUGUGGGGUGCUCGAGUGGCGAACGGGUGAGUAACACGUGAGUAACCUGCCCUUGACUUUGGGAUAACUUCAGGAAACUGGGGCUAAUACCGGAUAGGAGCUCCUGCUGCAUGGUGGGGGUUGGAAAGUUUCGGCGGUUGGGGAUGGACUCGCGGCUUAUCAGCUUGUUGGUGGGGUAGUGGCUUACCAAGGCUUUGACGGGUAGCCGGCCUGAGAGGGUGACCGGCCACAUUGGGACUGAGAUACGGACCAGACUGCUACGGGAGGCAGCAGUGGGGAAUAUUGCACAGUGGGCGGAAGCCUGAUGCAGCAACGCCGCGUGCGGGAUGACGGCCUUCGGGUUGUAAACCGCUUUCGCCUGUGACGAAGCGUGAGUGACGGUAAUGGGUAAGGAAGCACCGGCUAACUACGUG